Molecule: ribosomal RNA, 400 nt
Filed under: phytoplankton environmental sample
Lineage: Eukaryota
Description: partial small subunit ribosomal RNA
Rfam family: Eukaryotic small subunit ribosomal RNA
Source: RNAcentral
AGCUCCAAUAGCGUAUAUUAAAGUUGUUGCAGUUAAAAAGCUCGUAGUUGGAUUUGGGACUGGAGUCGUCGGGUCGGCCGCGAGGUCUGUUACUGGACGGCUCCGUCAUUUCAUCUCUCGGAGACCCGUCGUGCACUUCGCUGUGCGCGGCGCGGGACUCGGGACGUUUACUUUGAAAAAAUUAGAGUGUUCAAAGCAGGCUAUCGCUUGAAUACAUGAGCAUGGAAUAAUGGAAUAGGACUUUGGUCCUAUUUUGUUGGUUUCUAGGACCGAAGUAAUGAUUAAGAGGGACAAUUGGGGGCAUCCGUAUUUCGUUGUCAGAGGUGAAAUUCUUGGAUUUACGAAAGACGAACAACUGCGAAAGCAUUUGCCAAGAGUGUUUUCAUUAAUCAAGAACGAA